UUGAAGAGUUUGAUCAUGGCUCAGAUUGAACGCUGGCGGCAGGCCUAACACAUGCAAGUCGAGCGGUAGCACAGAGAGCUUGCUCUCGGGUGACGAGCGGCGGACGGGUGAGUAAUGUCUGGGAAACUGCCUGAUGGAGGGGGAUAACUACUGGAAACGGUAGCUAAUACCGCAUAACGUCGCAAGACCAAAGUGGGGGACCUUCGGGCCUCAUGCCAUCAGAUGUGCCCAGAUGGGAUUAGCUAGUAGGUGGGGUAACGGCUCACCUAGGCGACGAUCCCUAGCUGGUCUGAGAGGAUGACCAGCCACACUGGAACUGAGACACGGUCCAGACUCCUACGGGAGGCAGCAGUGGGGAAUAUUGCACAAUGGGCGCAAGCCUGAUGCAGCCAUGCCGCGUGUGUGAAGAAGGCCUUCGGGUUGUAAAGCACUUUCAGCGGGGAGGAAGGCGAUAAGGUUAAUAACCUUGUCGAUUGACGUUACCCGCAGAAGAAGCACCGGCUAACUCCGUGCCAGCAGCCGCGGUAAUACGGAGGGUGCAAGCGUUAAUCGGAAUUACUGGGCGUAAAGCGCACGCAGGCGGUCUGUCAAGUCGGAUGUGAAAUCCCCGGGCUCAACCUGGGAACUGCAUUCGAAACUGGCAGGCUAGAGUCUUGUAGAGGGGGGUAGAAUUCCAGGUGUAGCGGUGAAAUGCGUAGAGAUCUGGAGGAAUACCGGUGGCGAAGGCGGCCCCCUGGACAAAGACUGACGCUCAGGUGCGAAAGCGUGGGGAGCAAACAGGAUUAGAUACCCUGGUAGUCCACGCCGUAAACGAUGUCGAUUUGGAGGUUGUGCCCUUGAGGCGUGGCUUCCGGAGCUAACGCGUUAAAUCGACCGCCUGGGGAGUACGGCCGCAAGGUUAAAACUCAAAUGAAUUGACGGGGGCCCGCACAAGCGGUGGAGCAUGUGGUUUAAUUCGAUGCAACGCGAAGAACCUUACCUGGUCUUGACAUCCACAGAACUUUCCAGAGAUGGAUUGGUGCCUUCGGGAACUGUGAGACAGGUGCUGCAUGGCUGUCGUCAGCUCGUGUUGUGAAAUGUUGGGUUAAGUCCCGCAACGAGCGCAACCCUUAUCCUUUGUUGCCAGCGGUUAGGCCGGGAACUCAAAGGAGACUGCCAGUGAUAAACUGGAGGAAGGUGGGGAUGACGUCAAGUCAUCAUGGCCCUUACGACCAGGGCUACACACGUGCUACAAUGGCAUAUACAAAGAGAAGCGACCUCGCGAGAGCAAGCGGACCUCAUAAAGUAUGUCGUAGUCCGGAUUGGAGUCUGCAACUCGACUCCAUGAAGUCGGAAUCGCUAGUAAUCGUAGAUCAGAAUGCUACGGUGAAUACGUUCCCGGGCCUUGUACACACCGCCCGUCACACCAUGGGAGUGGGUUGCAAAAGAAGUAGGUAGCUUAACCUUCGGGAGGGCGCUUACCACUUUGUGAUUCAUGACUGGGGUGAAGUCGUAACAAGGUAACCGUAGGGGAACCUGCGGUUGGAUCACCUCCUU
This 1536-nucleotide ribosomal RNA is filed under the name Klebsiella pneumoniae. RNAcentral's name for it is "bacterial SSU rRNA". It matches the Rfam family "Bacterial small subunit ribosomal RNA". The record is from RNAcentral. Lineage: Bacteria; Pseudomonadati; Pseudomonadota; Gammaproteobacteria; Enterobacterales; Enterobacteriaceae.